UCUUUUCCUUAUAUACAUAUUAAAUACAAUUAUAGGUGUUCUGAAUAAGUGUGUGAUAUUUUAUAUGCUAAUUUCACUUUUUGUGUAGGUCGCUCAACAUAGUUAAUAAAAGUUUAACUAACCGCAAUGAUCGUCCCAUUGAGUGGAUAACUCCGAUAUGUCCACAACAACCAGACAGGAAGCAAUGUGGAUAUUAUGUCAUGAAAUUUAUUGAGAGUUUCAUGAACGAAGAAGAUCCAAUACGCCGAGUGAGAGAAAUGGGUAAGAGCGAUCCGUACUCAAAUGACGAGAUGAAUAUUUUGCGUGAUCAGUGGAUUGAAUAUGUUCGAGCACAAGCAGUGCGACAAGGGCUUUUACAAUGAUCAGUUUCUAUUUUUGUUUAUACUUUAUCCUAACUAAUUAGUGACAAUAUACAGUAAAAAUUAAUUAAUGUAGGGAAAAUUUUACUAUGUAAAACAGGAUCUGUUUAACUUUCACUAAUGACAAUAUAUAUACUUUAUCCUAA
Long non-coding RNA from Cannabis sativa, 505 nucleotides. RefSeq lists it as uncharacterized. Lineage: Eukaryota; Viridiplantae; Streptophyta; Magnoliopsida; Rosales; Cannabaceae. The record is from RefSeq and is a predicted model, not a curated record. The transcript is spliced from 2 exons.